UACAGAGGUCCCGAGCGUUGUUCGGAUUCACUGGGCGUCAAGGGUGCGUAGGUGGUUGGGUAAGUCUGAUGUGAAAUCUCCGGGCUCAACCCGGAAAUGGCAUUGGAUACUAUUCGGCUAGAGGUUUGGAGGGGGGACUGGAAUUCUCGGUGUAGCAGUGAAAUGCGUAGAUAUCGAGAGGAACACCAGUGGCGAAGGCGAGUCCCUGGACAACACCUGACACUGAGGCACGAAAGCUAGGGGAGCAAACAGG
Molecule: ribosomal RNA, 253 nt
Filed under: uncultured bacterium
Lineage: Bacteria
Description: partial 16S ribosomal RNA
Rfam family: Bacterial small subunit ribosomal RNA
Source: RNAcentral